Molecule: ribosomal RNA, 836 nt
Filed under: Polypedates leucomystax (Java whipping frog)
Lineage: Eukaryota; Metazoa; Chordata; Amphibia; Anura; Rhacophoridae
Description: partial 16S ribosomal RNA
Rfam family: Bacterial large subunit ribosomal RNA
Source: RNAcentral
AAUUUUCGUGAACCCUUAAGUUAUAAUGAAUGACUCCAUAUUUAUAUGGAAGACACCAUGCUAGGAUUAGUAACAAGAAUUUAUAAUUCUCCAAAAUGCAAAUAUAAACCAACAUGGAUGGACCAUUGGUAGUUACCGAACCUAAAUUCAAUGCAAUAACACCUACAAGAAAACUCUGCAGUACUUACUCGUUAACCUAACACCAGCGCAUUACAGGAAAGAUUUAAAAAAAGAGAAGGAAUUCGGCAAAUGACGGCCCCGCCUGUUUACCAAAAACAUCGCCUCUUGACUUAUAAUAAGAGGUCCAGCCUGCCCAGUGAAUUUUAAACGGCCGCGACAUCCUAACCGCGCGAAGGUAGCAUAAUCACUUGUUCUUUAAAUGGGGACUCGUAUCAACGGCAUCACGAGGGUUUUACUGUCUCCUCUUUUUGAUCAGUGAAAUUGAUCUUCCCGUGAAGAAGCGGGAAUAAAUUUAUAAGACGAGAAGACCCCAUGGAGCUUUAAACCAAAUAACAACUUAACCACUUACUCCAUAAUAAAUUUAAGCCCUGUUAUAAGGUUUUUGGUUGGGGUGACCGCGGAGUAAAGCACAUCCUCCACGACGAAAAGAACAAAAUCUUUAUUUAAGAACCACACUUCUAAAAAUUAGUAUACUAACGUUUACUGACCCGACAAUCGAUCAACGGACCAAGUUACCCUGGGGAUAACAGCGCAAUCUACUUCAAGAGCCCAUAUCGACAAGUAGGCUUACGACCUCGAUGUUGGAUCAGGGUAUCCCGGUGGUGCAGCCGCUACCGAAGGUUCGUUUGUUCAACGAUUAAAACCCUACGUGAUCU